Molecule: ribosomal RNA, 165 nt
Filed under: uncultured bacterium
Lineage: Bacteria
Description: partial 16S rRNA
Rfam family: Bacterial small subunit ribosomal RNA
Source: RNAcentral
UAGGGAAUCUUCGGCGAUGAGGGCAACCCUGACCGAGCAACGCCGCGUGAGUGAAGAAGGUUUUCGGAUCGUAAAGCUCUGUUGUAAGAGAAGAACGUGUGUGAGAGUGGAAAGUUCACACAGUGACGGUAACUUACCAGAAAGGGACGGCUAACUACGUGCCAG